This 315-nucleotide ribosomal RNA is filed under the name uncultured eukaryote. RNAcentral's name for it is "partial 18S ribosomal RNA". It matches the Rfam family "Eukaryotic small subunit ribosomal RNA", at positions 1470 to 1796 of the family's 1831-position model. The record is from RNAcentral.
CCCUUAGACGUUCUGGGCCGCACGCGCGCUACACUGACCAGUGCAACAAGCAUCCGUCCUUGGCCGACAGGCCCGGGCAAUCUUUGAACGCUGGUCGUGAUGGGGAUAGACUUUUGCAAUUUUUGGUCUUCAACGAGGAAUUCCUAGUAAACGCAAGUCAUCAACUUGCAUUGAUUACGUCCCUGCCCUUUGUACACACCGCCCGUCGCACCUACCGAUUGAAUGGUCCGGUGAAGCCUCCGGAUUGGCGCGCACCUCGGUGCCGCCGAGAAGUUGGCUAAACCUUACCAUUUAGAGGAAGGCGAAGUCGUAACA